ACUCCCUUCGUUCAGUGGUUAGGACGCACGUCUUAUAUACGUGUUGUGGGUGGUUCGAUUCCAUCAGGGAGUACCA
RNAcentral lists this transfer RNA (76 nucleotides) under compost metagenome. RNAcentral's name for it is "tRNA-Ile". It matches the Rfam family "tRNA". Rfam says of the family: Transfer RNA (tRNA) molecules are approximately 80 nucleotides in length. Their secondary structure includes four short double-helical elements and three loops (D, anti-codon, and T loops). The record is from RNAcentral.